Molecule: long non-coding RNA, 3942 nt
Organism: Oreochromis aureus
Lineage: Eukaryota; Metazoa; Chordata; Actinopteri; Cichliformes; Cichlidae
Exons: 3
Source: RefSeq, a predicted model, not a curated record
CUGCACGCUUUAGUUGUGAAGCAAAAGCGCUGAAAUCGGAGUAAUAGCACGUACGAAAGGGAUGAUAACGACGACUAGAUUCUCCCGAUCGUUUACCCUUGCUGUCCUGUGAAAAACAUCGGCGUAGUGUUAAUUGUUUGCUGUUUUCGCGAUCGCGUCGCGCAUGAGAAUAUCACCAGGUAAACUCGCAACAUUUUUAAACAUUUUGUUGUUCAACAGCAUCAAGACUGACGGAGUGUGUUUGAGAUAACCUCACAAGUGUCACAGAUGACACAUUUGGCGGGGUUUUUUUGCUGGUUUGUCGGUAGCAGCUCCUGAAACGCAAGUGUGCCACACAUCUGUUCGACCAAAUCCAGUUAAUCUAAGCGCCAGUUAAUCUGGAACACCGACGGCGUCUCAGAUUUGGCCGGGGAAGAUGCACUAGGGCCUUCUUCAUUACGAGAUCCUGGAAGCACUGAUCAGUGUAAUCUUGGAGAGCCUCUAAACUCUCCCCGUUGUUCUCCAGGGUGUUGGAGAUGAUUUAGACAAAUGCUGUUAGUUAUAAGACAAUUUAUAAGUGUAUUUGGUAAUACUGAAGCUUAAAGGAAUUUGUUCAAUUCUAAACUACCAUUCACUUUAAGUCCGUCACUUUUACAUACUUUAUAUUCAUUGCAGGUAAGGUAUUCCAGAUGCCCUCAUCUUCAGCAACACUUUGCAGAUCCUAUGAGAUGUUCCCAGCCAAAAUAAUGUGUAAUUUCUCCAGCAGGUUCUGGUUUACUCUGGAUUUUCCUUCCAAUAGGAAGUGUGUCUGGAAAAAAACCCCAGGGGGUCAGUCAGGAAGCAUGCAAAACAGAUACCUAAACCACAAUGGUUAAAGGAGUCUGAUUUUCAUGAGCAUCAUAGCUCAUGAAAAUCAGAAAUGCAGUGUUAAAAUAGCACAAUAUUUCCUAAGAUCCAGAAAAGCAUUUACAAUGCAGAAAUGUCCAGUUUCAUUUCAUUUAUGCGUUCAGGUAGAGCUUCUUUUUUUUUUUUUUUUUUUUUUUACCACAAAUUCAUGCCUCAUGGUGGUGUGGCAUGGAGACAAUCAGCUUGUGGCACUGCUGCGGUAUUACUAGGGGCCCCGGAUGAAUUGAUAAUUGUCUUCAGCUCCUUUAUUUCUGGGUUUCUGGGUUGCCUGUUUCUCAUCUUCCUCAUUGAUUUUCAGUGGGAUUCAAGUCUGGCGAGUUAGAUGGCCAGCCAAGCAAAGUAGCCUAAUAAAAUGAUCAGCAGCCUAAAUGGUAGUAAUUUUUGUUAGCAGAUAGAACUAUAAAGUUCACACUUCACACCGGACUUCAAACACCUUUGAUUCUUCGGCUCUCCACUUUUCCUCAUGACUCAAAGACUUUGAAUUUCAAAUGAAAUGCAAAGUUUACUUCAGACCACUGAGCAGCAGACUUCUUUUUCUCCUUAGCCAACAUAAAAUCUACUGAUGCUGUCUCUCAUUUAGGAGUGUCUUUCCAUUAAUCAACUCAAGUCAACUUCCCAUUAAUAUGCUGUAGUUUUUAGCAGUUAGCUUCUGUGGAUUACCCUUCUUGCCAGAGGGUUUCGAUCAUCAUCCUUUGAACAGCUGUCAGUUUCCAGCAUUACAUGUUGAAACCUAAAGGACUGGCUAUUGCAGUUGUGGCUCAGUAUGUCAUCAUGCCUCUUACAGCCUUUUUCAUAGCUAAGGUGUUCCAGUUCAGUGAUAUAACAGCUGUGGUUAAUCUGGUCUGUGGCUGCUGUCCUCGAGGAACUCUCUCUAACACCCUGACUCUGGGUCUACAGGUGGACAUGAACCUCAGGUGCAUACACAAAGUUAUGCAGUUAAUUGGUCAAUGUUUAAAUAACACACUGAUAUAUUUUUCUAACAUAACUGAUUGACUUGAUAUGUUAGCUUUUCUGUCUAAUCUCACCGGUCUACAAAAAUAUCCUUUGUUUGCUACUGGGAAUUCAGACCAGCUCUACAUCUUUUUUUUUUCUUUUUUUUUCCCACACUGACUCAAGUAAGAACUAAGAGCAGUCAGUCAUCAUGUUCAGAUUAAAUUUUCCCUGAUAUUCAUUGCCUGUCACUUUUAUAUCCUGAUGUUCAUCACUGAAAAUGCCCAAAUUUGAUGGAAAAAAAGUUGAGAUGAGAAUGGAAAAAGUUAAUCUUUAGUGAUAUUCUGGCACCCAUUAGCAGAUGUGCUUUCAGCACAUUAUCCAUGAGUUCACCAUUGUUAUAUGCUCUAUAAAUGCCAAGAAAAUUCCUGGCAACCUGCACUAAUGCUUUCUGUGCUGCUGACUCAAUCAGUUUUCUUUUUGAACUCAUUGUCAAGCAAUAGUGCAUGGAUUUCAGGACCAAAAAAACACCUUUCCUACUUUUGGUGACGAAACGUAUUUAUUAAAUGCUGAAAUGAAUUGCACUUUCUGUCCAUUCUUACUAUUGUCCGAUAUUUCCAGUGUCAAGAUUAUUACCUGAUCAGCCAUAGAAAUUAAAAAAAGAUGCAAUACAUCUGUGUUGCAACAUCAAUUAAAUGUUCGUCAUCACGGGGGAAAUAUCUGCCAUGUUUUUGUGUACGAUGUCAGGAACUUAGUGGUAAAGUGAAUGUUCCCAGUCAGAAGUCCUUUUUUCACAUGAAUACACAAUAAGGACGGGAGUAUACAAUUACUGGGCACUGCAUUAGGUACACCUAGUAGUACCAGGUCAGAGUCCUUUUUGUCUUCACGACAACGUUAACCCUUUUUGGCACAGAAUCAACAAGGUGCUGGAAACAUUUCUUAGAGCUUCUGGUCCAUAUUGACUUGAUAGCUUCACAUAGUUCCCGCUGAUUUGUCGACUCUAAAUCUUCUGCUCCAUAAGAGCCCAAAGGUGCUCUAUUCAAUCGAGAUCUGGUGACUGUGGAGGUCAUUUGAGUAUAACAAGCCCAUUGUCAAAUUCGAGAAACCAGUUUGAAAUUAUUUAGGCUUUCUAACAUGGUGCAUUAUUUUGCUAGAGGAAACAAUCAGAAAAUGGGCACACUACAAAGCAGGAUGAAUUGAGUUGAACUCAGUUUUAUUUAUAUAGCACCAAAUUGCAACAGUUGCGUCAACAACAUGGAUCCAUGAUUUCAUGUUGUUUACGCUAAAUUCUUACAAUAUCAUCCAAAUAUGUCUGCAGAAAUUGAGACUCAUCAAACAGGCAAUGUUUUCCUACUUUUCUGCAGCUGUAAGCAAUCUGCUUCACGUCUUAACCUCCUAGGACUUGGUGUCCACAUAUGUGGACAUCACAUUUUGGGUUGUCUAGACCAAAAUACUAAAUUUUGCUCUACAAGGGCCUGAUAUCCACUUACAAGGACAUUAUACUGCCUCUGUUUUAUAGAAAUUUAAAACGAAUAUCCUCAUAUGUGGCUCUCAUUUUUCUUAGAAACAAAAAUCAGGUAAAAAAAAAUAUCUGGUGAUUCCUUGUUUUGACAUUCAUCGGGUCCUAAUUUGCCCAAAUAUCAAAGAGAAAUUAAAAAUGCAUGCCAUGAAAGAGUUCAGGUCUUAGGAGGUUAAUUUGCUGAAUGUUCAGAGAGGCUCUUCUGCAUACCUUCUUGUAACAAAUGAUUACUGUUACUGUAGUUACUGUUGCCUUCUUAUCAGAUCAAAGCAGUCUGGCCAUUCUCCUCUGACAUCUGGCAUCAACAAGGCAUUUUCCCCUAAAGAGCUGCCGCUUGCUGGAUAAUCUUUUCCUUUUCUCUGUAAACCCCUCAUGCCUAAAUGCAUUCAGUUGCUUUCCCUCACUCAGUUGCUUUUACUUAUUUCAUAUUUGUAUUAAUCUAAUGUAAAAGAAUGUAAAAGUAAUGUAAAAGAACCCACCCAGCACUUUAUUUACACUCUAGCUCUUGUUUUAACAUAUGGCACAGAAAUUGAACAUUUAACAGUGUUUCCUGAAAACCCUCUCUUGUCAACAUAGAAUAGAAUAGAAUAGAAUAGAAUGCCUUUAUU